RNAcentral lists this ribosomal RNA (426 nucleotides) under uncultured bacterium. RNAcentral's name for it is "partial 16S ribosomal RNA". It matches the Rfam family "Bacterial small subunit ribosomal RNA", at positions 354 to 796 of the family's 1533-position model. The record is from RNAcentral.
GUGAGGAAUUUUCCGCAAUGGGCGAAAGCCUGACGGAGCAAUGCCGCGUGAAGGAUGAAGGCCUAUGGGUUGUAAACUUCUUUUCUCAGAAAAGAAUUAUGACGGUAUCUGAGGAAUAAGCAUCGGCUAACUCUGUGCCAGCAGCCGCGGUAAGACAGAGGAUGCAAGCGUUAUCCGGAAUGAUUGGGCGUAAAGCGUCUGUAGGUUGUUUAAAAAGUAUUCUGUCAAAGAUUAGGGCUUAACCCUAGAUAGGCAGAAUAAACUUUUAAGCUAGAGUGUGGUAGAGGCAGAGGGAAUUCCCGGUGGAGCGGUGAAAUGCGUAGAUAUCGGGAGGAACACCAAAGGCGAAGGCACUCUGCUGGGCCAAUACUAACACUGAGAGACGAAAGCGAGGGGAGCAAAUGGGAUUAGAAACCCUAGUAGUCC